CUGUUAGUUAGUGACGGGUGGGUCUGUUAGUUAGUGAAGGUUGGUCUGUUGUUAGUGACGGGUGGGUCUGUUGGUUAUGACGGGUCGGUCUGUUGUUAGUGACCAGUGUGUCUGUUGGGUGGUUAGUGGGUUGGUUAUUGACCGGCCUGCUUCUGUCUGGUAGAACGUGGUCGCUCGGCUUCAGGGUGAGGAUUGACUCACAUGAAGGCUGUGACUCCUCCCACCUGUUGAAUGACAUGGUCCCUAUACAGCCUGUGGUCCUCACUGUGAGGGUUAGGGUUAGGGUUAGAAGGUAGGGUUAGAAGGUCCUCACUGUGAGGGUUAGGGUUAGGGUUAGAAGGUCCUCACUGUGAGGGUUAGGGUUAGGGUUAGAAGGUCCUCACUGUGAGUGUGUGAGGGUUAGGGUAAGAAGGUAGGGUUAGAGCAGGGGUUCUCUAAGUUUUGACAGCUGAGGGGCCAAUUUAGGAACACAAAAUUUGACUGAGGGCCGCCAAAGGAAAGGCGGGAAACGCUGUCAGCAUUCCAGUGGUGAAAAAAGCAUUGCACCGUGGACCUCUGGGAGUGAGGUCUAAAUCAUUAACUGAGGUUCAUCCUUUCAAAGUAAUGUACAGUCGGAUUAAAACGAAUACAUGUAACAGGAUUUGAUUGAAAGCUAGAGAGAGUCGACUUUCCUCUUCAUAUUUAUUAUUUUUUGUUUAAAUUAAAGGUUGGGGUAUGGGAUUUGUGAAACGCCAGCAGAUUUUGAAAACACACAACUCAAAUGCUCCUACCCCCUCUCCUUCAACGCUGACUCUGACUCCACCCAUUCCAAGUACAUGGACGCGCAAUCAUAAUAAUAAUCAAUUUUAUUUGAGGGUGUUUUCAUAGCACUCAAGGACACCUAACAGGGCAGUGUUAAAAAAAUCAAAUAAAAUCAACAAAAAUAAAAAAAACAUAAGAUACAUUGAAACAAUUUACACAAGUGAGGUGAAAUGGGUGGGAGACAAUGAAUUAGAUCGAAAAUGUCUGUUUAAAAAGAUGUGUUUUUAGACGGGACUUAAAAGUGGAAAAGUGGAAUCAUGCACGAGCAAACAGAUGCGCGAGAGCGAGCCAUUAGCUAGUUAGCUAGCUCCAGUAGCUACCGCAGGAUAACAACAAACAGAAGCUUGCUCUGGGUCACGAGCUUUGAGUACGUGCACGAAGGGGUCACGCGCGGGGGGAGGGGGAGUGCAGUACGACCGUUUGAUUGACGUACUUACUGUCCAAUGCCACUCGGUGGGUCUGGAAAUCAUUGGCUGGAGUUUUUCGAGCCCUGCCCGUUCCACAGAUGAUUGACUUGUUUAAUUUCCAUGUCAGUACUUCUAACUCAGUGUCUGUAAGUGGGUUAUAAUAAGGAUUUCAAGUAAUUUUGCAAAAAUGGCCUAAAAAGAGAAUUCCAUACCCAACCUUUAAUAUUGAUUCAAUAAUAAAAAUAUAUAUAUUAUUAUUUAUUUAUUUUACUUACAUCUGUAAGUCAUUGCGGGCCGCCAGGAAUGUUUCUGCGGGCCGCCAUUGGCCGCACUUUGAGAACCAAUGGGUUAGAAGGUCCUCACUUUGAGUGUGUUAGGGUUAGGGUUAGAAGGUCUUCACUGUGAGUGUGUGAGGGUUAGGGUUAGAAGGUCUUCACUGUGAGUGUGUUAGGGUUAGGGUUAGAAGGUCUUCACUGUGAGUGUGUGAGGGUUAGGGUUAGAAGGUUAGGGUUAGAAGGUAGGGUUAGAAGGUCUUCACUGUGAGUGUGUGAGGGUUAGGGUUAGAAGGUCUUCACUGUGAGUGUGUGAGGGUUAGGGUUAGAAGGUCUUCACUGUGAGUGUGUGAGGGUUAGGGUUAGAAGGUCUUCACUGUGAGUGUGUGAGGGUUAGGGUUAGAAGGUUAGGGUUAGAAGGUAGGGUUAGAAGGUCUUCACUGUGAGUGUGUGAGGGUUAGGGUUAGAAGGUUAGGGUUCGAAGGUCUUCACUGUGAGUGUGUGAGGGUUAGGGUUAGAAGGUUAGGGUUCAAAGGU
Molecule: long non-coding RNA, 2017 nt
Organism: Gadus macrocephalus (Pacific cod)
Lineage: Eukaryota; Metazoa; Chordata; Actinopteri; Gadiformes; Gadidae
Exons: 3
Source: RefSeq, a predicted model, not a curated record